AACUUGAGAGUUUGAUCAUGGCUCAGAACGUACGCUGGCGGCACGCCUAACACAUGCAAGUCGAACGAAGUAGCAAUACUUAGUGGCAGACGGGUGAGUAACAUGUAGGUAUCUGCCCUUUGGCCUGGAAUAACACGAGGAAACUUGUGCUAAUACCGGAUAAGUCUUUACGGAGAAAGCUUUAUGCACCAUUGGAUGAGCCUGCACUUGAUUAGUUUGUUGGUGGGGUAAUGGCCUACCAAGACUGUGAUCAAUAGCUGAUUUGAGAGGAUGAUCAGCCACAUUGGGACUGAGACACGGCCCAAACUCCUACGGGAGGCAGCAGUGGGGAAUCUUGCACAAUGGAGGAAACUCUGAUGCAGCGAUGCCGCGUGAGUGAAGAAGGCCUUUGGGUUGUAAAGCUCUUUCGUCGGGGAAGAAAAUGACUGUACCCGAAUAAGAAGGUCCGGCUAACUUCGUGCCAGCAGCCGCGGUAAUACGAAGGGACCUAGCGUAGUUCGGAAUUACUGGGCUUAAAGAGUUCGUAGGUGGUUGAAAAAGUUAGUGGUGAAAUCCCAGAGCUUAACUCUGGAACUGCCAUUAAAACUUUUCAGCUAGAGUAUGAUAGAGGAAAGCAGAAUUUCUAGUGUAGAGGUGAAAUUCGUAGAUAUUAGAAAGAAUACCAAUUGCGAAGGCAGCUUUCUGGAUCAUUACUGACACUGAGGAACGAAAGCAUGGGUAGCGAAGAGGAUUAGAUACCCUCGUAGUCCAUGCCGUAAACGAUGUGUGUUAGACGUUGGAAAUUUAUUUUCAGUGUCGCAGCGAAAGCGAUAAACACACCGCCUGGGGAGUACGACCGCAAGGUUAAAACUCAAAUGAAUUGACGGGGACCCGCACAAGUAGUGGAGCAUGUGGUUUAAUUCGAAGAUACGCGCAGAACCUUACCAACACUUGACAUGUUCGUCGCGACUUUAAGAGAUUAAAGUUUUCGGUUCGGCCGGACGAAACACAGGUGCUGCAUGGCUGUCGUCAGCUCGUGUCGUGAGAUGUUGGGUUAAGUCCCGCAACGAGCGCAACCCUCACUUUUAGUUGCCAUCAUUAAGUUGGGCACUCUGAAAGAACUGCCAGUGAUAAGCUGGAGGAAGGUGGGGAUGACGUCAAGUCCUCAUGGCCCUUACGUGUUGGGCUACACACGUGCUACAAUGGUAUCUACAACAGGAAGCAAAACUGCGAAGUUAAGCAAAUCCUUAAAAGAUACCUCAGUUCGGAUUGCACUCUGCAACUCGAGUGCAUGAAGCUGGAAUUACUAGUAAUCGUGGAUCAGCGUGCCACGGUGAAUGCGUUCCCGGGUCUUGUACACACCGCCCGUCACACCAUGGGAGUUGGUUCUACCUUAAGGCAAGGUUUCAAACCCUUGACCACGGUAUAGUCAGCGACUGGGGUGAAGUCGUAACAAGGUAGCCGUAGGGGAACCUGCGGCUGGAUUACCUCCUU
Molecule: ribosomal RNA, 1473 nt
Filed under: Candidatus Pelagibacter sp. AAA795-J21
Lineage: Bacteria; Pseudomonadati; Pseudomonadota; Alphaproteobacteria; Candidatus Pelagibacterales; Candidatus Pelagibacteraceae
Description: bacterial SSU rRNA
Rfam family: Bacterial small subunit ribosomal RNA
Source: RNAcentral